This 643-nucleotide ribosomal RNA is filed under the name Metalimnobia quadrinotata. RNAcentral's name for it is "partial 16S ribosomal RNA". It matches the Rfam family "Bacterial large subunit ribosomal RNA", at positions 1771 to 2700 of the family's 2925-position model. Lineage: Eukaryota; Metazoa; Arthropoda; Insecta; Diptera; Limoniidae. The record is from RNAcentral.
AUUAAUUCGGCAAAAUAAAUAUUCGCCUGUUUAUCAAAAACAUGUCUUUUUGUAUUUAAUUUAAAGUCUGACCUGCCCACUGAAUUAAUUUUUAAAGGGCCGCGGUAUUUUGACCGUGCAAAGGUAGCAUAAUCAUUAGUUUUUUAAUUGAAAGCUUGUAUGAAUGGUUGGACGAAAUAUUUACUGUCUCAUAAGAAUUUACAAUAGAAAUUAAUUUUUUUGUUAAAAAGCAAAAAUAUAUUUAUAGGACGAGAAGACCCUAUAGAGCUUUAUAAUUUUAUUAUAUAAUUUUUAAAGAAUAAUUUGAAUUUUAUAAAAAAAAUUAUUUUGUUGGGGUGACAAUAAAAUUUAAAAAACUUUUAUUAUUUUAUUACAUUGAUUUAUGAAUAUUUGAUCCAUUAUUAAUGAUUAAAAGAUUAAGUUACCUUAGGGAUAACAGCGUAAUUUUUUUUAAGAGUUCAUAUCGACAAAAAAGAUUGCGACCUCGAUGUUGGAUUAAGAAUUAUUUUUAGGUGUAGAAGUUUAAAGUUUAGGUCUGUUCGACCUUUGAAUUCUUACAUGAUCUGAGUUCAGACCGGUGUAAGCCAGGUUGGUUUCUAUCCUUAAUUAAAUAAAAUAUUUUAGUACGAAAGGACCAAAUAUU